Molecule: long non-coding RNA, 855 nt
Organism: Rhopalosiphum padi (bird cherry-oat aphid)
Lineage: Eukaryota; Metazoa; Arthropoda; Insecta; Hemiptera; Aphididae
Exons: 4
Source: RefSeq, a predicted model, not a curated record
AUUUCCUAUCAUUUUGCAGUUUUACAUUCGUAUUUGUAUUUGAGUUUCAACUGUAAAUUGUUUUCAAGAAUUUUGUAAUAAAAAUGAAGUGUUUGUCUGUUAGUUUAUGUUUUGAUUGUUUCCAUUUAAAAAAUUAUUCAGUGUUGUCCACGUACUAGUUGUUAUAUAAAAAUUGUUGUCCUCCUUACGGUGUCUAGUAGCGACAUUUUAUCCUCCAACCAUUAUACAUAUUUAACUUGCUAUUUUUUUUUUAGAUGGCAGUACAGCAGAUCAUUCAAUACAUGCCGAGACAUGAAUUCACAUUUCUACCACUAUGCUAAAUAUCAAUAUCCUACGUUGAAAAUGUACUAGACGAUACUGCUAAUAACAAGGGUUUUGUGCAACGUGCGUGUAAUGGAUGGCAGUACAGCAGAUCACUCAAUACAUGCUGAGACAUGAAUUCACAUUUCUACCACUAUGCAAAACAUCAACAUCCUACGUUGAAAAUGGACUAGACAGUACUGCUAAUAAUAAUGGUUUUGUGCAACGUGCGUGUAAUGGAUGGCAGUACUGCAGAUCACUGGAGGCAUGCUGAGACAUGAAUUAACAUUUCUAUCACUUGGGAAAGUUACAACAUUUUCCGUUGAAAAUGGAAUAGAAGAUGGCAGUAUAUCAGAUCAAUCAAGGCAUGCUGAGACACGAAUUCACAUUUCUACCACUAAGGAGAGUAUCAACAUCCUAGGUUGAAAAUGGACUAGAAGAUACUGAUAAUAAUAUUGGAUUUAUGCAAUGGUUAUUGAAUAUAAUUGAUACUAAAUUAAUAGCUGUGAAACAAUUGAGAUUUGUUAAAUAUCUGAAUAAAAUAAUAGUAAACAA